UGGAACUUCUUUGGAUGGGUGGAUCAAGCGUGGGUUAUGGUAAUUUGGAGUCAAAAGGAUGUGUGCGUUGGUUCCUUUGUACCGAGGAGAGAACAAAGCCUGUCACUGGGAUGCAGGGCAAUAGAAAGAGGUGCACUGCUUGGAAGAGGAGCGCCAUGGCGACAGCCCCAGGAAGCAAUCCAUUAAAUUGGCUCCCAUUGCUUUGCGUUCAAUGUAAUGGGCAGUGCUGGGGCAGUGACUCACUGGGCCACUGCUGUGGUUUAAAAAUACUUUGAGAACUCAUUUCACAUCAGUAUCCCCAUGAGUCACCACUUCUAACAAAAGGGCUUAGGGAAAACUUGUUGCUUUGGAAGCAGCUCUCAUCUCCAUGUGCAGAGAAGGCAUUUAAGAUAAUGUUCCCGAUCCUUCCCAUGGGCUUUAGGUUGCUUUCUGACGUUCCUUCACUUCACUGGAGACAAGAGGAUGGAUGGCUCCCAACUCAUCCUCUCUCCUAAGACUCCAGAUUUCCACAAGAUUGCUUUGAAAUCACUGGAGGUUGGCAGAGCCUCUCAUGCUGGGAACGUCUGGAAGUGAUUUGCAAUAUGAGCCCGCAGGAGGGCUUAGUGUCCAGUGAGCAUGCAACAUUUGCACCUCGGAUGCUGCAGUGUGCUGCCUUUGGAAGGCCACAGAGAAACAUCUGCUUGAAAAUGGACUCAAGUCAUUAAUUUACCAUUGGGUUUCGAAAUCCUCAGUUGUCAGAUGUUUUUCAAAGCAGCUUAACUGUGACUUGCUCCAGGUGAUGCGCAGUGGCUUUCACCAGCCUGAGAGGUGCUAAGUGUGCUGCACUGAUCCAGCUGUUUUACACUGAAAUUGAGCCCCAGCUUUAGACCUGUGUCAUUUUAACUCAGAAGGUCAGCAAGCCCAGAAGGCCAACUGCAUCUUUUGCUGCAUCAAAAGAGAGGUGGCAGCAGGGUGAAGGAAUAGAUUAUCCCCAUCUGCUCUGUUCAUGUGAGGCCCCACAUGCAGUACUGCGUCCAGACCUGGGCAACCCAGAACAAGAAAAGAUGUGGAGUUUGGAGCAGGUCCAGAUGAGGGUCAAAAGAUGCUCAGAAGGCUGGAGCACUUCUCCUAUGAAGAAAGGCUGAUGGAGGUGGGCUUGUUCAGCCUGGAAAAGAGAAGGCUUCGGGGUGAUCUCAUUGCAGCCUUCCAGGACUUAAAGGGCACUUAUAAGUUGGAGGGGAAGCACCUUUUUACACGGUGAUUUAGGUUAGACAUUAGGCAGAAAUUCUUCACUCAGAGGUUGGAUGGGCCCUGGUCAGCCUGAGCUGGUGGGGGGCAGCCAGCCCAUGGCAGGGGUUGAAACCAGGAUAUCUUUAAGAUCCCUUCCAACCCAAGCCAUUCUAUAAUUUUAACAACUGGUAUUACAGUGUAGAUGUAGCAGCUCAAAUUCAGGAUGUAGAUGAGGCUUCAGGUGAUGUGGCUUCCAAUGUCAAUUACGAUCUGCUGUGGACAUGCUGUUGAAUUUCACAUGGAACAGCUGCGUGGGCCCAGGGUUCUGUCUGGCUUGUUGGGCUGGUUUGUGUGUUCACAUCUUGCAGCCAGGACUGUGGUGAGCCAGCAGGAGCAGCGUGCAGCUUUGCUUCAAAGGUGCGUGGCCACACACCUCCCCAGCACAGCACAGCACGCACCUGUGGUUGACUCUACAACAUGUGACAGCUUGUGGUCCAGCACAGAUAAGCAGCAGCGACUUGUUUAUCUGCAUUCCCAGCUCUGCUAUAGAGCUCCUCAAAGACAAGUCCCAGCUCUGUCCCAGCUUUCCCUAAGGCAAGUGAAUACAAGCAGGCCAGGCACAGCCUACAUGCACUGCAUUUGACUGUGUUCACCAUGAGCCCUGGGGAAUUUAAUGUGAAGCUGAGCCUCCAAAAUUCCAGUGGGAGAAAAAGUAGUUUUGUUCCUUAGCAGAUGCAAUUGCUCAGAGGCACGGAGAGCAGGGCCAGGGCUAAGCUCCCCUUCACACUGCACGCUGCUGGGGAUGGCACCAGCUCCUGGAAGGGACUGGGCUGCCAUUGCAGCAGGGCAAUAAAUACUCUCGUGGCAUUUUUGGAUCACAGCGUUGUUCUGAGCGGAGAUGUUCCUCCUGAUGUAUAUCUUGGCAAGGUCUAAAAAAGGGAGUGGGGAUCCUGUGGAUAGCAGGAAUGCUCAAAGUGACUAAUUAAUGACAAAAACAUUUUUGGCUGGGUGCUAAAACUUGUGGUGCCAGCUCUAAAAUCAUCUCCAACUCUGAAAGAUUAAGAUAGAGUGUGACAGUCCCCCUCUUGCAGGAGGGCUAUCGGACAUCUGCCUUUGAGCGGCUCUUACUCCUUCCUUGAUGCUACUAGGCUGCAUCCUUCACUAUGGGAAUGGGUAGAAGAGCAAACUUGUUCCUUGCCCUGAAGAACAGAGGCUGACUUUCCAGAGGUGCAGGAGUUCUGCUGGCUUUUGUGUACAUCCAGGCAGCGAUGGGUAGCACGGAGCUCCACCAGCACAGCUGAGACCUGAGCACCUGGCUCCCUGAACACUGGAAGAGGUAUGUAAUCCUCAUGUCUCUCGUGGUGAUUUGCACUUCUCCAUAAUUAAAUUUGGCCUUAGGUCAGCAAUAAGUAGAAAUUUAUCAUAGGAAAUCAGAGUUCAAAGGCAUGGAAGUCAAAUUCCUGCCUUGCCUGCUCCAUGUGCAUGCAAACACACCCCUCUGUAGCCAUGCACACAAUGGUUAUCCCAGGAGCUUUCCAAGCACACUCGGACCUUGUCACAAGCAGCACUACUUGUACCAAACAGACUCUAUUAUUAUCGUUUGUUCGUAUAUUAGCACACUGCCUAAGGGCAGAUCCCAUUCAAUAGAAUCUGCCUCUUCUGCUGCACAAAAAGAAUAGUCCUCAAGUAGGUUUUGAUUUUACCCAGAUGUUUGCAGAAUAGCACAGUUCGCUGAGUGAUCUCACCAAAGAGAUGGAGCAUCGAGGGCUGACUGGGGAAAAACUGAGAGGCGAGGGAAGCAGAUGCUGCAUUUCUAUGCUGACUGUUCAAGCAAUAGCUGAGUACGUCCUGUAUGUGCCUGCCACAGGGCAAGCAGGCAACAGGCACAGUGAGUCCUUUUGGAAGUCAUGGAAUCACACAAUCAUAAAGGUUCCAAAAGACCUCCAAGAUCAUGAAGCCCAACAGUCAACCCACCACCACCACUCCCAGUAAAUGUGUCCCUAAGUGCCACGUCUACAUGAUGUGUAGGUUCAAACAGAAAGGGCCAACCAAGCUGAGGGAAAAGAACUGAGUUACUCACUGGAUCUCAAACCUGGGUGCAGAUCUGUGUUCUGACAGCUUGGUUUUGAGGAUCCCAGCCUUUUAUCUGUACCAGAUGUCUCUAUGCCUUUGGUUUGUGGUCAUACUGUGUGUUGUCCCUAUUUUUCAGUGGUCUUGGUGCAUAAGGCAAUGUGUACAUCUGGGAGCCCAGAUCUACUGUUAACUAUCAGUUCCUGCGAAGCACCAAAGAAGGUCCCAGACUGCCUGUUCUACUCAUCAGAUGCUGCAGGGUGGGAGUGUUCCCUAUCUCACUUGGGCUCACUGGCCUGCAAGAGAGCCAGCAGCAUGGCCCUGUUCCUGGCACCAUCCCGUCCUGUUCCCUGCUGUCCUGCUCCAUACCCGCUCCCACGCUAAUGCAGAGCCAGCACCGAGUGAAUCAACCUAAUUAAAGCAGAGAACAGGAGGAGAUGUGAUGGAGAACUAUUAUUUCACAUUUAAUUGAAAAAAUCCAUUUCUGCAUGGGUCCGAUGUGUUCCCUUUUGCUGGUUUCCCAAGAACAACUACAGGCAUUUCUAUUAUUACACACUCUAUGCAGUUAGGGAACGUGCAUCAUCUGGCUGAAACCAAAGCCCUCCUCCAGCCAGCAAUGGGCUCCGCGCUGUUCUGUGCUCAGGUGGCUCAGAAGGAUGCCUGUGGUUCAAACUGCUUGGUGCAGUAAGCUGGAAACAUUCAGAGAGUGAGAAGUUUCACGUGGAGAAAACAAAUCCCAGUUUGUUUAUUGAGCCUAAGAGCUUUCAUUCGAGGCACAAGGAGUUUGACAAACUUCAGCUGAACAAAUGGAACGUUUCUGAGUUGACCAUAUGUGUGUUUCCCAGGAUGUGGAUUCUGGAAACAGAAAUAACCAUCAGCCAUAAAGCAGCCUAAAGCCAGAGUGCCAAAAUCUCAGCUGCUGUAAUCACUGUUUCCAGCUCAGGAUCUGGUGUAGCUUCCUUCUCCUGGUGUUGGCCUCUCAGGUUGGCUAAUAGACACACACAUGUAGACGUAUACAAAUGUUCUUAGGUGGAUGAGUUUCAGAGAGGUUGCAGAGGGGAUGGCCUCACAUUGUGCCAGGGGAGGUUCAGGUUGGCUGUUAGGAACAAUUCCUUCUCCCAGGGAGCAGUUUGGCAUACACAGUUUAGUCACUGAGGGUGUUUUUGUUUGAGGUGCACUCAUUUGUUUAUUUCUCUCAUUCAGUUGAUGCUGCUGUAGCCAAGAUCCCUUCAUCAAUCCUGUUAAGCUGAUGAGUAACACGGUACGGCUUCUGACGGCGGUGAGCUUUAAAAUAAAUCAAGUCAAAAAGUG
Coturnix japonica (Japanese quail) is the source of this 4590-nucleotide non-coding RNA. NCBI's taxonomy places the organism in Eukaryota, Metazoa, Chordata, Aves, Galliformes, Phasianidae. The record is from RefSeq and is a predicted model, not a curated record.